GUAUAAGUUUACCAACGCUUGUUAAGGCGAAGAUAUGGAUUACAUUCUAUGAAUACAGAGUUGGUGAUAAAGACAUAGGGGCCUUUUUACGGGCCCUUACAUUGGGUUCACAGGUGUGUGUGGAUUUAAAGGUUCAGGUGUGCACGUGCCCCGAGAGGCCAGCAACAACCCUUACCGAUAGUUUCAAUAAUGAUCCUUCCGCAGGUUCACCUACGGAAA
RNAcentral lists this unclassified non-coding RNA (219 nucleotides) under uncultured fungus. RNAcentral describes it as "sequence contains ITS1". The record is from RNAcentral. Lineage: Eukaryota; Fungi.